GACGAACGCUGGCGGCGUGCUUAACACAUGCAAGUCGAGCGAUGAAGCUUCUUCGGAAGCGGAUUAGCGGCGGACGGGUGAGUAACACGUGGGCAACCUGCCUCAUAGAGGGGAAUAGCCUUCCGAAAGGAAGAUUAAUACCGCAUAAGAUUGUAAUAUCGCAUGAUAUAGCAAUUAAAGGAGUAAUCCGCUAUGAGAUGGACCCGCGUCGCAUUAGCUAGUUGGUGAGGUAACGGCUAACCAAGGCGACGAUGCGUAGCCGACCUGAGAGGGUGAUCGGCCACAUUGGGACUGAGACACGGCCCAGACUCCUACGGGAGGCAGCAGUGGGGAAUAUUGCACAAUGGGGGAAACCCUGAUGCAGCAACGCCGCGUGAGUGAUGACGGUCUUCGGAUUGUAAAGCUCUGUCUUCAGGGACGAUAAUGACGGUACCUGAGGAGGAAGCCACGGCUAACUACGUGCCAGCAGCCGCAGUAA
This 478-nucleotide ribosomal RNA is filed under the name uncultured bacterium. RNAcentral's name for it is "partial 16S ribosomal RNA". It matches the Rfam family "Bacterial small subunit ribosomal RNA", at positions 28 to 523 of the family's 1533-position model. The record is from RNAcentral.